ACGGAGGGUGCAAGCGUUAAUCGGAAUUACUGGGCGUAAAGCGCGCGUAGGUGGUUUGAUAAGCGAGAUGUGAAAGCCCCGGGCUUAACCUGGGAACGGCAUUUCGAACUGUCAGGCUAGAGUAUGGUAGAGGGAGUGAUGACGUUCUGUGUAAGCGG
This 158-nucleotide ribosomal RNA is filed under the name uncultured bacterium. RNAcentral describes it as "partial 16S ribosomal RNA". It matches the Rfam family "Bacterial small subunit ribosomal RNA", at positions 525 to 682 of the family's 1533-position model. The record is from RNAcentral.